CCAGCCAUGCCGCGUGUGUGAAGAAGGCCUUUUGGUUGUAAAGCACUUUAAGCAGUGAAGAAGACUCUUCGGUUAAUACCCGGAGACGAUGACAUUAGCUGCAGAAUAAGCACCGGCUAACUCUGUGCCAGCAGCCGCGGUAAUACAGAGGGUGCAAGCGUUAAUCGGAAUUACUGGGCGUAAAGCGAGCGUAGGUGGCUUGAUAAGUCAGAUGUGAAAUCCCCGGGCUUAACCUGGGAACUGCAUCUGAAACUGUUAGGCUAGAGUAGGUGAGAGGGAAGUAGAAUUUCAGGUGUAGCGGUGAAAUGCGUAGAGAUCUGAAGGAAUACCGAUGGCGAAGGCAGCUUCCUGGCAUCAUACUGACACUGAGGCUCGAAAGCGUGGGUAGCAAACAGGAUUAGAUACCCUGGUAGUCCACGCCGUAAACGAUGUCUACUAGUCGUUGGGUCCCUUGAGGACUUAGUGACGCAGCUAACGCAAUAAGUAGACCGCCUGGGGAGUACGGCCGCAAGGUUAAAACUCAAAUGAAUUGACGGGGGCCCGCACAAGCGGUGGAGCAUGUGGUUUAAUUCGAUGCAACGCGAAGAACCUUACCUGGUCUUGACAUAUCUAGAAUCCUGCAGAGAUGCGGGAGUGCCUUCGGGAAUUAGAAUACAGGUGCUGCAUGGCUGUCGUCAGCUCGUGUCGUGAGAUGUUGGGUUAAGUCCCGCAACGAGCGCAACCCUUGUCCUUAGUUACCAGCGGGUUAAGCCGGGAACUCU
This 761-nucleotide ribosomal RNA is filed under the name Psychrobacter sp. DJJH22. Its description in RNAcentral is "bacterial SSU rRNA". It matches the Rfam family "Bacterial small subunit ribosomal RNA", at positions 388 to 1141 of the family's 1533-position model. The record is from RNAcentral. Lineage: Bacteria; Pseudomonadati; Pseudomonadota; Gammaproteobacteria; Moraxellales; Moraxellaceae.